UCGGACAGAGGACAGAUAACAGGAAGGCUUGAUGAGACGAAACUGAAACAAUGGCUGUCUGCGAUACCGGAGAACGCCGAGGCAAAGAGAGAAAUAUGUUCAAUGUUUUCUACAAGUUCCAGUCUUGUUGCAAGUUUCACAAAGACAAAUAGGUCUCCAAAAACAGCAGGUGCCCUGACUGUGGACCUUGAGGCAGCCAGCAGAGUCUUCGACCAGCUGCUGGCAGUACCAUGGAUCAAACAAACAGUAACACUAAACAACCUGGUUGAAUUACUUUGGGCUUCAAAAAAUGAUAUCCAAUCUUUGGAGAUCUUGAUGGUUCUGCUGACAUGCCCUCUCCUCCAAGAGGGCCUUGCUGUCUUUUACAUCGUGCUGCCUUUGUCCCAACUUAUCGCAGAUCUGAG
Non-coding RNA from Labrus bergylta (ballan wrasse), 404 nucleotides. The record is from RefSeq and is a predicted model, not a curated record. NCBI's taxonomy places the organism in Eukaryota, Metazoa, Chordata, Actinopteri, Labriformes, Labridae.